RNAcentral lists this ribosomal RNA (402 nucleotides) under uncultured bacterium. RNAcentral's name for it is "bacterial SSU rRNA". It matches the Rfam family "Bacterial small subunit ribosomal RNA", at positions 355 to 774 of the family's 1533-position model. The record is from RNAcentral.
UGGGGAAUCUUAGACAAUGGGCGCAAGCCUGAUCUAGCCAUGCCGCGUGAGCGAUGAAGGCCUUAGGGUUGUAAAGCUCUUUCAGUGGGGAAGAUAAUGACUGUACCCACAGAAGAGGCCCCGGCUAACUCCGUGCCAGCAGCCGCGGUAAUACGGAGGGGGCUAGCGUUGGUCGGAAUUACUGGGCGUAAAGCGCACGUAGGCGGACCAGAAAGUAGGGGGUGAAAUCCUGGGGCUCAACCGCGGAACUGCCUUCUAAGCUCCUGGUCUUGAGUUCGAGAGAGGUGAGUGGAAUUCCGAGUGUAGAGGUGAAAUUCGUAGAUAUUCGGAGGAACACCAGUGGCGAAGGCGGCUCACUGGCUCGAUACUGACGCUGAGGUGCGAAAGCGUGGGGAGCAAACA